AACACUUCGUAAAAAACCGUCUGAAGCUGGCAACGAAGGCAAAGCUCCCUUUACAGUUGAGUACAACCAAUUCAUUCUGUAUGAUCGGUUAUUACCAAAAUUACGAAAUUAUGAAAACAUAAGUUCCAUUCGGGUUGAAAUCUACAUUCUCUUGUUGAUGGCUAGAGAGAUAACAUUGAGCACAUGAUCAUGAGACUUUAUCGUUGACGUAGACACUGAACAAACAAUUCUAACAACAACAGAGGAAUGUCUCGGUUUAUGUGGGCCUUCAAGGCAUAUUGUAAAUACUCAUGGCAAAACUGUACAGGGACAGCAAUGUAUUUAUUCACCAAUAAAGGGUCCAUAUGACAGACAACACAUGAUGCAUCAUGGCCCCGCCACAAUGAUCCAAGCAGCUUCACAACAAUCAGGAAUUACACAAGCAUUCAAAGUUUGUUUGCUGUCAAACGCC
Haliotis rubra (blacklip abalone) is the source of this 451-nucleotide long non-coding RNA. RefSeq lists it as uncharacterized. NCBI's taxonomy places the organism in Eukaryota, Metazoa, Mollusca, Gastropoda, Lepetellida, Haliotidae. The transcript has 3 exons. The record is from RefSeq and is a predicted model, not a curated record.